Molecule: ribosomal RNA, 253 nt
Filed under: uncultured bacterium
Lineage: Bacteria
Description: partial 16S ribosomal RNA
Rfam family: Bacterial small subunit ribosomal RNA
Source: RNAcentral
GACGUAGGUGGCGAGCGUUGUUCGGAAUUAUUGGGCAUAAAGCGCAUGUAGGUGGUCAUGUUAGUUGGGUGUGAAGGCUUUCGGCUCAACCGAGGAACUGUGUCCGAUACUGCAUGGCUUGAGGUCCGGAGGGGAGAGUGGAAUUUUUGGUGGAGCGGUGAAAUGCGUAGAGAUUGGGAAGAACGCCGGCGGCGAAAGCGACUCUUUGGUCGGAUCCUGAUGCUGAGGUGCGAAAGCUAGGGGAGCAAACGGG